CCUACGGGAGGCAGCAGUGGGGGAUAUUGCACAAUGGGGGAAACCCUGAUGCAGCGACGCCGCGUGAGUGAAGAAGGAUUUCGGUAUGUAAAGCUCUAUCAGCAGGGAAGAAAAUGACAGUACCUGACCAAGAAGCCCCGUCUAACUACGUGCCAGCAGCCGCAGUAAUACGUAGGGGGCAAGCGUUACCCGGAUUUACUGGGUGUAAAGGGAGCGUAGACGGUUAUGUAAGUCUGGAGGGAAAGCCCGGGGCCCCACCCCGGGACUGCUUUUGAAACUGUGUAACUGGAGUGCAGGAGGGGCAGGCGGAAUUCCUGGUGUAGCAGUGAAAUGCGUAGAUAUCAGGAGGAACACCGGCGGCGAAGGCGGCCUGCUGGACUGAAACUGACGUUGAGGCUCGAAAGCGUGGGUAGCAAACAGGAUUAGAUACCCCAGUAGUC
RNAcentral lists this ribosomal RNA (440 nucleotides) under uncultured bacterium. RNAcentral's name for it is "partial 16S ribosomal RNA". It matches the Rfam family "Bacterial small subunit ribosomal RNA", at positions 338 to 795 of the family's 1533-position model. The record is from RNAcentral.